CAGAGAACUUGCCCUUCGGGGUAGAUCUCCCACCCUUUGUUUACAAUACCAUUGUUGCUUUGGCAGGCCCGUCUUCGGGCCACCGGCUUCGGCUGGUCAGUGCCUGCCAAAGGACCCAAAACUCUUUAUAAUUUAUUGUCUGAGUACUAUAUAAUAGUUAAAACUUUCAACAACGGAUCUCUUGGUUCUGGCAUCGAUGAAGAACGCAGCGAAAUGCGAUAAGUAAUGUGAAUUGCAGAAUUCAGUGAAUCAUCGAAUCUUUGAACGCACAUUGCGCCCUCUGGUAUUCCGGGGGGCAUGCCUGUUCGAGCGUCAUUACAACCCUCAAGCUCUGCUUGGUAUUGGGCUUCACCCGUAAGGGCGGGCCUUAAAAUCAGUGGCGGUGCCAUUCGGCUUCAAGCGUAGUAAUUUUCUCGCUUCGGAGUACCGGCUGUGUGCCUGCCAGCAAACCCCAAAUUUUUUAAAGG
Molecule: unclassified non-coding RNA, 467 nt
Filed under: Ascomycota cf. Leotiomycetes OTU_092
Lineage: Eukaryota; Fungi; Ascomycota
Description: sequence contains ITS1, 5.8S rRNA gene and ITS2
Rfam family: 5.8S ribosomal RNA (bases 162-315)
Source: RNAcentral